GCGAGUGAAGAGGGAAGAGCUCAAAUUUGAAAUCUGGCGGUCUCAGGCCGUCCGAGUUGUAAUCUAGAGAGGUGUUUUCCGUGCUGGACCGUGUACAAGUCCCUUGGAACAGGGCGUCAUAGAGGGUGAGAAUCCCGUCCAUGACACGGACUCCCGGUGCUCUGUGAUACACCUUCGAAGAGUCGAGUUGUUUGGGAAUGCAGCUCAAAACGGGUGGUAAAUUCCAUCUAAAGCUAAAUACAGGCGAGAGACCGAUAGCGAACAAGUACCGUGAGGGAAAGAUGAAAAGAACUUUGGAAAGAGAGUUAAACAGUACGUGAAAUUGUUGAAAGGGAAACGCUUGAAGUCAGUCGCGUCUGCCAGGACUCAGCCUUGCUUCUGCUUGGUGCACUUCCUGGUGGAUGGGCCAGCAUCGAUUUUGGCCGCCGGAAAAGGGCGGGAGGAAUGUGGCAGCUUGCUGUGUUAUAGCCUCCCGUCGUACACGGUGGUUGGGAUCGAGGAAUGCAGCACGCCUUUUGGUCGGGGUUCGCCCACGCCACGUGCUUAGGAUGCUGGCGUAAUGGCUUUAAACGACCCGUCUUGAAACACGGACCAAGGAGUCUAACAUGCCUGCGAGUGUUUGGGUGUCAAACCCAGGCGCGUAAUGAAAGUGAAAAGUUGGGACUCUUUAGUGAGGCACCGACGCCCGAUCCUGACGUUUUCUGACGGAUUUGAGGCAGAGCAUGUAUGUUGGGACCCGAAAGAUGGUGAACUAUGCCUGAAUAGGGUGAAGCCAGAGGAAACUCUGG
Molecule: ribosomal RNA, 788 nt
Filed under: Exidia candida var. cartilaginea
Lineage: Eukaryota; Fungi; Basidiomycota; Agaricomycetes; Auriculariales; Exidiaceae
Description: eukaryotic LSU rRNA
Rfam family: Eukaryotic large subunit ribosomal RNA
Source: RNAcentral